RNAcentral lists this long non-coding RNA (2176 nucleotides) under Nicotiana benthamiana. Its description in RNAcentral is "long non-coding RNA (NBEN_LNC018591)". The record is from RNAcentral. Lineage: Eukaryota; Viridiplantae; Streptophyta; Magnoliopsida; Solanales; Solanaceae.
UUAUUACACACAUAUGCAAUUUCCCUCACCAAUCAAUAUGAACUCCUUGACCUCCUUUCAAAUCCGCAUUGAUUCCUUUCAAUCCAUAUUGUAUGCACCAAUUCUGUAUAUGCUAUCUUGAAUACCUGAGCUCUCUGUGAUUUACCCUUUGCUCUUGAAUGAUCUAAUUCUCCACUUGUUCCCAUUGUGUUGUCCUGAAACUAGCAACCUUUAUCCAUUUUAGCACACCUUCCUAGACUUUGGUAGAAUACAUUUCAAGAAGAGAUGGUUUCUUGCUUCAUUGUGACUAUUACAUAGAUUGCAGACAUGAUCAACAUGUAUACCCUAGGAGGCAAUUAUGUCAACAGUCAGAAGUUUUCCCUGUAUCUGUAGUCAUAUUGUAAAUUGAGCUUUUGGACGAGCAUCAUUUCCAAAUUUCAGUGUCUUCUAUGAAAUCCUCUCAUUGUUCCCAAUUAGCUGAAGAUAUAUCUGCUUAAUUAAACUACCGACAGUUUUUUUUUUUGAAUUAGUGCCAAUGUAUUUUCUAGCCUCAAACAUUUUCCCUACCAUCAACCAGCCUGUAGAGGAGUAUCCAUUUGACCAAAUUGCUGAUUUUUGAUGUAGAAUGCAUGCAACCAUCUGAUCGAUAGCAUGUUUGUCUUAUGUUCAAUGUCCCAACUAGCUUUGUUAUUGUAGUUUUGUUCUAUAGUCUCAUGUUUAUCAAGCCUACUCCAUCUAUUGACUUUGGAGUACAAUAGAACAAGGGAUCAGGAUCCUUGGUAAUUAUGCUUUAGGGAUCAGGUAAAAUACAAGGGCUUGGCAGAGGUCGGUUCAUAUGCAACAGACGGAAAGUAUUGGGUUCGAAUGAGAAGAGGUAUUUUCUGGGUUAAGGUUUACAAACAAAGCGGUUGGUCAAGGGGAAAACAGGGUCUUCAAAUGAAAAUCAAUCAUCAUGACAAGUGAAGGAGCAACAGACCUCAAGGUCAUGGCCAUUGGUUCAAGUCAAUUAAAAAAAAAACAGCAUACACAUGGAGUGGGGGCAAGGGACGUGGUUUAAGAUUCAUGUGGGACACAAAGGUUGGGAAGAUGUCAGUUCAUCAGCAAUGCAACAAAUAGAGGAUAUUGGGUCUGAACGGAGAAGAGAUAUAUUCUGUGAUAAGAGCGACAGAGAAGUUGGUCAGCUAAUAAGCAAGCCAUGUCUUUCAAGGUGAAAUCAAAGUUGCCAUGGCAAGUGAAGAGCGCAACACAAAGAUGGGAAAGGCCGAAGUCUGAACGGAGAAGAGGUAUUUUGUGUGAUAAGAGCGACAGAGAAGUUGGUCAGCUAAUAAGCAAGUCAUGUCUUUCAAGGUGAAAUCAAAGCUGCCAUGGCAAGUGAAAAAAUGCAACACGAGAAUGGGGAAGGUCGAAAGGGUCAGCCAAGCAUCGUAAACUGGUCGGAUAACCUCAGGAAAGGAUGCGAGAAUUUUAUCAAAGGGUCGGAAAUGCAACACAAAAAUGAGGAGCAGAGUGAAGGUACAUGGGUCAGAGGGUCAGCCAAGCACAAUACAUUGACUUGGAAAUCUUGAGAAAGGUGCAAGGAUUCUGGCAAAAAGGAUAGAAAUGUAACACAAUUAUGGGGAGCAAAGUAAAGCCGUAAAUGUUAGAGGUGUCAGCCAACUAACUCAGGCAACUCAUCAUCGAUAUGGAAAUUUGAACACAACAGAACAUUACAAUGAGGAGGCCGCUUCCAACAAGAAUCCCGCAAGCCAACCACAACUUUUCAACUGACAAGUUUUCUUUGAUUAAAACAGGUGCAGAAAAAUUCCAGAAGAACCUAAGGGAGGCCAUCCACAGGGGAAGUCCGGCACGACAGGUAUGAUCAAAAUCUCAGUAUGUACAUGGAAGUGGUACUAAGUUAAAAUUCCAAAGGGACAUAGUCCGUUAUAAACAUCCUCCUCAGCAAAGAGCACAAUGGGACACACUUUAAUUAGCAAAAAUCUAGUAGAAACAACCAAUGGUUAAAAUAGGCGUAAAAGUUGAGAUGGAACACAUUUUAAAUCUUAAGCAGGGGCGAGUAACAUAGGCAAGCUCCAACACCUCCCCAGUAAGAGUCGCAGAAACAACCUAAAAUUAGAACUGGCAUUUAAGUUGAAACCCUCAGGACCCUCCUGGAAAAUGGGACUUAUUUAAAGGUUAGAUAUAAUCAUGGAUAGCAAAG